RNAcentral lists this ribosomal RNA (442 nucleotides) under uncultured bacterium. RNAcentral describes it as "partial 16S ribosomal RNA". It matches the Rfam family "Bacterial small subunit ribosomal RNA", at positions 338 to 795 of the family's 1533-position model. The record is from RNAcentral.
CCUAGGGAGGCUGCAGUGGGGAAUAUUGGGCAAUGGAGGCAACUCUUACCCAGCAAUGCCGCGUGAAUGAAGAAGGUCUUCGGAUUGUAAAGUUCUUUAAUUGGGGACGAAAAAAAUGACGGUACCCAAGGAAUAAGCCCCGGCUAACUACGUGCCAGCAGCCGCGGUAAUACGUAGGGGGCAAGCGUUAUCCGGAUUUACUGGGUGUAAAGGGAGCGUAGACGGCGAUGCAAGUCUGAAGUGAAAGGCGGGGGCCCAACCCCUGGACUGCUUUGGAAACUGUAUGGCUGGAGUGCAGGAGAGGUAAGUGGAAUUCCUAGUGUAGCGGUGAAAUGCGUAGAUAUUAGGAGGAACACCAGUGGCGAAGGCGGCUUACUGGACUGUAACUGACGUUGAGGCCCGAAAGCGUGGGGAGCAAACAGGAUUAGAUACCCCGGUAGUC